CCUUUCGCGGAAAAAGGUGUGUAUCUAUGUAUACAUACAUACAUACAUAGAUGCACACCUUUUUCCCCGAAAGG
This 74-nucleotide microRNA precursor is filed under the name Operophtera brumata (winter moth). RNAcentral describes it as "mir-965 microRNA precursor family". It matches the Rfam family "mir-965 microRNA precursor family". Lineage: Eukaryota; Metazoa; Arthropoda; Insecta; Lepidoptera; Geometridae. The record is from Rfam by way of RNAcentral.